Salmo salar (Atlantic salmon) is the source of this 987-nucleotide long non-coding RNA. RefSeq lists it as uncharacterized. NCBI's taxonomy places the organism in Eukaryota, Metazoa, Chordata, Actinopteri, Salmoniformes, Salmonidae. The record is from RefSeq and is a predicted model, not a curated record.
CAAGCGUUGAUCGACAUGGUAAUGGGUCUAUAGUAUUGGAGAAAAGUUGAAAAAACUCACCCUCCGUUACAUCGUGACGUGUCAUGCCGUAACGUACAGCGCGCAUAAAGCAACUAUUUCUGUCAUUACAAUCUCUCUCCACCAGUAUACCUAGUCAUUUUUUGCAUCAUCACUGCAAGCAUCAUGACCCUCAAAGCCGCUGUUUACUUCUGAAGAUCACUUUAGCACCGCCCUAAAAACUUGAUUCAAAUUCGACACAAACCUUCAAAUAGAGCCAAGAUUACCCAGCAGCCACCACCCUCAACAAACACACACUUUUAGAUGGAGAGAGAAGAGGAUAGAAAGAGAAGGAUGAGCACAUAUAGAUGGAGAGAGAGAAGCCUCAACAGCGCCCCAUGCAGGUGCUUCACUGCAUACAUGUGUGCUACGGAGAUCGGCUUGGUGAGACAGCUGAUAGAAAUAGAGCAUUUCUAUGGCGAGAUAAGUCAGGUAGCCUUGGCCUAAGCAUGUCACCCUUUGGAAGAGGUAGUGGAUACCCCACCAUUGUCUCCAAGGAUAAAGGUCCACAUAAAUAAUUCAAUAAGAAAAUCUCUUGUUGUGUCAUCCAUUUUUAAAGACACAGUAGGCAGCCCAUUAUGCUGCUGGCAAGCAGAUGAGUACAGUAGCUGUGUCACGUGACCCAGGCCCAGGAGGUUAUUGUUAUUUUACUGUCCAUAAACAGAACAGGACAUUUCCUCCUCAGCUUAUUCAUAUGCAGUCUCCCACCUGUCAGAGCCCCAUGUCGCCUUCACAAGGUAAACCAGCUAUAACAUACCUGAUCAGUAAGCAAACACAUACAUACAGUUGAAGUGGGAAGUUUACAUGCACCUUAGCCAAAUACAUUUAAACUCAGCUUUUCACAAUUCCUGACAUUUAAUCAUAGUAAAAAUUCCCUGUCUUAGGUCAGUUAGGAUCACCACUUUAUUUUAAGAAUGUGAAAUGUCAGAA